Molecule: unclassified non-coding RNA, 106 nt
Filed under: Ensete ventricosum
Lineage: Eukaryota; Viridiplantae; Streptophyta; Magnoliopsida; Zingiberales; Musaceae
Description: partial external transcribed spacer
Source: RNAcentral
UGAUCGUGUCGGCAUGUGAGUGGUGAUGGAUUUGUAUGCUGUGGUGGGCUCCCUGCUAUUGUGCAGCUGACCRCCUUCGCUGCAAGGGCAUCAUGGAGGACGUGCU